UCAAACCAGGGUCUCCUGUCUUGAUACUGUAUCUGCGAGGCUAUCUUGUUGGAACAUUUCUGGGGAUUCUCCUGUUUCCAGCACAUUUUCUCCCUCUAGAAACACUGGGAUUUCUGAUGUUGAAUAGCCACCUGAAACUUUAUAUAUAAUCAGGUUCCUGAGAAAUGACUGAAGUAUCUGCAAGCAUUCCUGUUUGUCCUGCCAGAGUCUGGCCCCAACUCAAACCAAGCCAUCAUCUUGGACAAAGUCAGAAAAAUUAAACUGAGAGAUUUUGCAUGUAACCCAACAGAAGAGGAGGCAGAGUGUGAGAUACAUGGGAGAUGGAGGACACCAGGAGAACAAGCUUUCCACAGCAGUCACACAAAAGGUCAGAGGAAAUCUUAUGGAGUCAAUUCUGUUCUAUGCUGUGGAUCCCAAGGACUGACCUGUGUCAAGAUGGGGCUAGGCCAACAGUCACAGGCGAUUGCCAGAAAAACAAAAUUCCUGCUGCUGCAGAUUUUGGAUGUGUCAGACAAAUUCCAGAGCAUUUUACUUUGCAGAACAAAAAGGAAACCAUCUUUACAGUGACUGGAGCAGAACACUGUACACACGUCAGUGCUGAAGAACCAGGAUCUCCGGCCACAUAGAUGAUAACACAGAUCAUUACUGUGCCAGUCACUACCAAGAGAAGUCCAAUAUUCAAACUUGCACUAGAGAUGGCAAGGGAAAUGUUUCAGUCAAGCCAUGAAUAAAUAAGACCAAUACCAACAGUGUAUAAUAUUCCUCCAACACCCACACCCAUAGCAUUUUACAAUUGUGUCAGAGCAAUGGCUUAAAGCACAAAGCUUCUUUCUGCAAUAUGAUAUAGUUUUCAGAGUAUAUCCUACAGAGCUUAAAAGACUUAAAGCUGUUGGGGAGGGCUAUCAGAGGGCAAUUAACACAUAUACAUUUAAUAGAGUAUAAAUAUUUUAAAUAUACAUUAUUAUCAUUUCCAGCAUUUCUGGAAUCUCACCAUCACCCAUGCUCCAGCAUUCAGGCAAAAUGCCUAGUCAUUCCCCAGCCUUAUGUAAUCUAUGUGCACACGCAGCCUGACCACAUAAUCUAUGCGCAUGCAUGCCUGCAUGGCCUGGCUACAUAAGCCCCCAUAGGCAUGCCCGGAGUAACUUUUAAAAGUAGACAUACAGACCACACUCCCUCUCUCUAGCCACAUUUCUUCCAGGGAGACCUGUGCAUACCACCUCUUCCCUUUCCUUACUCUUUACUAAUAAAACUCUUGAAUUGGGCUUUGCUGUAUAUCUUGUGGUCUGUUCUCACUCACAGUAAGUAACAUAUGUAUAUAUUUAGCAGAAUAUAUUAUAUUAACAUGCAGAUAUGCAUGUAUACACACAUAGUCAUGCACACACAUGCACGUACUCACACGUGCAUGCACACAGUCCCCCGCCCCCUGCAACACACACACACGGAUAUAAUAUAUUCCUUCUGCCUAUCAGCCCAACACAGACUCUUUAGGUUCUCCAUGUCUUAGUAAGUUAAUAUUCCAUUCCCACAAGCCCAUUAUAUGAAUAAGCAUAGGUCUAAAUUUUGAGUUCCAGAGACUUCCAUGCCUAUAGUAAAUAUCAUCUUAAGCAAAAAGUUACUAUACAUUUUUCUACAUGUUUAUUAAGUGUUACUUGAUUGAAUGAUUGAUUUGCUCCAAGCCUAGCUAUAUUUGUUGAGUUUCAUGGUUCAAAUUAAUUGACAUCGAUGUUAUAUCCAAAUAUUUGAUUCUUCCUGAGAUGUUUAUCCCUUAAAGUACUUCCUAACUUAGCCACAAGGCAUUCAUAUUAUCAAUGUCAAACUGAAACAGUGGGGAGAGUGGCACUUUCCAUCCAUUUUGUUUUGAUCAGCAACAUGUGUGUAUGUCAUUUAUUUGCAAUUAGCUCCUUUCCCUCCUCCAUUAGUUCUGAGCAACAGAUGGUAUCCUGAAAGUGUGACUUUUUGCUAUUGGCACGUCCUACAUUUCCUUAUGAUGACCAGAUGUCUCUCUUGGGUUUAGUUCUCAUGGGUCUGGAUAGUAUUUUUUUUUUCAUGUAUAUUCGCUAGGUUAAGAGGCCAAAGACAUAAAAUCAGCAAGACAAUUGUCCUUACCACAGAGGUGUGUGUGUGUGGGGGGGAGACACUUUAUUAAAAAAUACACUCAGGAUAGUUACUUAGCUGGGGGAGAUACCAUGAUCACCAAGGUGGUUUUCCCAGGGCGAGCCUAACGUGUUGCACUCAGAUAUGCUGACCCCUGAGAUUUCCCCAAAUGCAGAAAAUUCAGCUGCAUAAUAUGGGGCAGUGGGUGACUGCAUUUCUGCUCUUCUUGAAAAAAAAAUUAAAUAAAUAAAAAUUAAAAGUACACUUAGAGACAAUAUGGAGAUGGCUAAUAUUUUUGUGGCAUUAUAAAUAGCUCAGAUAUUUCGUCAAAUAAAGAUGUAAAUAGAAAACUAAAAAGGAGAAAACCCACUUUUACAUGAAGUAUUCUGAAGUUUCAGAACUAUUUACCAAAUAUGAACAAAAAAAAAGGAAAAAUUCUUGGGAGCUAAUCAGUUUUAUGUGGAAGUCUUUCCAUGACAAAGUUUUCAAAAGAUGUUCUAAAAGACAUAUUUUGCAGAAAAAAAAUUAACCUUCUCUCCAUAGCACGCAUUUGCAUUUCAAAGUUAUGGUUCCAUGGUGCUAAUUAAGAGAGUUUUCAUAUGGAAAUUCAAGGGGACUGCUGAGCCCUACACUGGACACUGCUUCUCCAAGUUAUUCAUGGUUUUUGUUUGAUUAGGGUUUCACUUGAUGCAAAUAAGAUGCCAAAUUGUGCUGGAUUUGAAGAAGUAGAAGUUCGAAAGACAGUUUGUGAAAUGAGAGCAAUGGCAAAUACUUCACAUCCUCCUGUGAAAGGCAGCUUAGACAAAGUCAUAAUGCUGUAAGGAAAGGAGAGUCACCAAAAGUGCCAGGGGAGGCAACAGGAGGAAUCUGUUGAAAACUAUGGACCAGUUUUCAUUAGAAAGGAGAAUGGAGACGGCUUGAAGUUAAUGGUAUCAGCAUAACAACUGCCACCUCAACUGAGUGGGUUUCUGUUGCCACCACACUCCAAAUAUGAGUUAGGUGAGGCUCACUUGUUAAGAGAACUCAGUCCUCUUGCAGCAGACACAAAUACCGUGCUCAUAACCUACAUACAGUAGCUUAUAAUUGUCUGUAACUCUAGCUGUCUACAGGAAGAGCUUCUCUCAAUGCUUUGGCCACUUUCACUAACAUGUACACAGGUACAUAGAGAUAGCUAAAAAUAAAAGUAAUAUGACUUAGACUGUAGGUAAGAAAGAACAUACAGAAUCAAAAUGAGUAGACACAUGCUAAAUUACAGUCUUUGGUUAAGUUCAAAGUAGCUGUUGAGUAACUGCUCUUGGUGACUUUAAUUAAAACAGAAAAAUGUAGGUAUAUUCUUUUUAUAUUUGUUUUAAUAUUGAUGACUGCAAACCACUAAGAAAUACAUUGGAAAAGCUUUAGUUAAUCCAGUUUAAAUGUUGAAAAUAAUUAGCAAGUAUUCAAGCAUCUCUUAUUACUAACAGAAAGAAAAAUAUACUUUUAAAGUAUUUCAAUUAGU
Cricetulus griseus (Chinese hamster) is the source of this 3589-nucleotide non-coding RNA. The record is from RefSeq and is a predicted model, not a curated record. Lineage: Eukaryota; Metazoa; Chordata; Mammalia; Rodentia; Cricetidae.